Molecule: ribosomal RNA, 1419 nt
Filed under: Ligilactobacillus salivarius
Lineage: Bacteria; Bacillati; Bacillota; Bacilli; Lactobacillales; Lactobacillaceae
Description: bacterial SSU rRNA
Rfam family: Bacterial small subunit ribosomal RNA
Source: RNAcentral
GUCGAACGAAACUGUUCUUACACCGAAUGCUUGCAUUCACCGUAAGAAGUUGAGUGGCGGACGGGUGAGUAACACGUGGGUAACCUGCCUAAAAGAAGGGGAUAACACUUGGAAACAGGUGCUAAUACCGUAUAUCUCUAAGGAUCGCAUGAUCCUUAGAUGAAAGAUGGUUCUGCUAUCGCUUUUAGAUGGACCCGCGGCGUAUUAACUAGUUGGUGGGGUAACGGGCUACCGAGGUGAUGAUACGUAGCCGAACUGAGAGGUUGAUCGGCCACAUUGGGACUGAGACACGGCCCAAACUCCUACGGGAGGCAGCAGUAGGGAAUCUUCCACAAUGGACGCAAGUCUGAUGGAGCAACGCCGCGUGAGUGAAGAAGGUCUUCGGAUCGUAAAACUCUGUUGUUAGAGAAGAACACGAGUGAGAGUAACUGUUCAUUCGAUGACGGUAUCUAACCAGCAAGUCACGGCUAACUACGUGCCAUCAGCCGCGGUAAUACGUAGGUGGCAAGCGUUGUCCGGAUUUAUUGGGCGUAAAGGGAACGCAGGCGGUCUUUUAAGUCUGAUGUGAAAGCCUUCGGCUUAACCGGAGUAGUGCAUUGGAAACUGGAAGACUUGAGUGCAGAAGAGGAGAGUGGAACUCCAUGUGUAGCGGUGAAAUGCGUAGAUAUAUGGAAGAACACCAGUGGCGAAAGCGGCUCUCUGGUCUGUAACUGACGCUGAGGUUCGAAAGCGUGGGUAGCAAACAGGAUUAGAUACCCUGGUAGUCCACGCCGUAAACGAUGAAUGCUAGGUGUUGGAGGGUUUCCGCCCUUCAGUGCCGCAGCUAACGCAAUAAGCAUUCCGCCUGGGGAGUACGACCGCAAGGUUGAAACUCAAAGGAAUUGACGGGGGCCCGCACAAGCGGUGGAGCAUGUGGUUUAAUUCGAAGCAACGCGAAGAACCUUACCAGGUCUUGACAUCCUUUGACCACCUAAGAGAUUAGGCUUUCCCUUCGGGGACAAAGUGACAGGUGGUGCAUGGCUGUCGUCAGCUCGUGUCGUGAGAUGUUGGGUUAAGUCCCGCAACGAGCGCAACCCUUGUUGUCAGUUGCCAGCAUUAAGUUGGGCACUCUGGCGAGACUGCCGGUGACAAACCGGAGGAAGGUGGGGACGACGUCAAAUCAUCAUGCCCCUUAUGACCUGGGCUACACACGUGCUACAAUGGACGGUACAACGAGCCGCGAGACCGCGAGGUUUAGCUAAUCUCUUAAAGCCGUUCUCAGUUCGGAUUGUAGGCUGCAACUCGCCUACAUGAAGUCGGAAUCGCUAGUAAUCGCGAAUCAGCAUGUCGCGGUGAAUACGUUCCCGGGCCUUGUACACACCGCCCGUCACACCAUGAGAGUUUGUAACACCCAAAGCCGGUGGGGUAACCGCAAGGAGC